UCAAGCUGGCAGCAGAGAGAGGACAUAGGGGCCUAAGAAGGGAGGCCUACUCUUAACAUCACCCAUCCAGCAGGAUACUUACUGUAAACAAUGGCUAACCCCACCCCCAAUCUCCAGCUUCAGCCAGGUUUCUCCCAGUCCUUCAGCUGAGCGGUCUGGUGGGGCUUGAUCAAUG
RNAcentral lists this long non-coding RNA (175 nucleotides) under Oncorhynchus mykiss (rainbow trout). Its description in RNAcentral is "lncRNA (ENSOMYG00000063554.1)". Lineage: Eukaryota; Metazoa; Chordata; Actinopteri; Salmoniformes; Salmonidae. The record is from RNAcentral.